GUGUCCACACUGGUGAGCAGUCCUCUAGUCUGACUGUGAAAAUACUUAAGCUUUGAAAGAAUGCUUUAGAGAGCUUCAGGACCUGCUCCUCAGCUCAACACUACUGCAGAAGCUGCCUUGCAGCAGACAGACAGUUCAUUUGACCCGGUAAAACCAGAGCCAGAGAUGACAAGCAGCGGAGACCUCGUCAGUCCAGCAGUGAAGCUGCAGAUGACAGCUCCCAGCAGUGGACUCAGUCAGGCUGGCAAUGACUGACACCAGAUCUGUACCAGCCACAGUGUGUACAGUAAGCAGUGGCAGUUCAACCAAGAGGAGAAUCAGGAGGUGUGGAAAUAACAGACCAGCUAAUGUAGGAGCUGCGGUAUGAGCAGUAUGUCCUUCUUCCUGCUGACAAUCCCUCCAACACUGAUGAAAGGGCUUCCGUCCUUGACUUCCUCUGGACUGGAUUUCUACACUCAAAGACAAAAGUGACUUGACGAGAUGAGUGUCAAAGUGUCAUUUUGGUUUAGCCAACCAAAAGUCAUCUGCAGCAGCUGUUUUAAUAAAUGUAUACAGUAUAUAUUGUCUUGCACAUUUUUUUUAUUGUCAUGUCUAAGACAAAGUCUUAGUGACACCCUGUAGGCCCCUGUCAGUCCCCUCAGCUCCUUAUGGCUUAUGAUCCCUUAAAAUGAAGCUGUGUCUACUGGUGACCCUGCAUUACAGGUCACCAGUCAGCGUAAACCAAAGAGUGUUUUUUUUCCUUUUCCUCCAUAGUUUUUUCCUUCUCAGUAACAGAAUAUUUUAUUUUCCUUCUUAUUAUUUUGAUCAUCUGGUGACUCCUCAGGUUCUUCUAACUGUAAGAGCCCUCCUGGGGCCCCAACCUCUAUGUUGGGAACCACUUCCCUAGGUCGAUUACAACUCUCCAUCUGGGUCCGUUUUUCUCCCACGGGAAGCCUCACCAAGUUCCUUACAGCACUGAAUUCUUUUCAGUACCCCCUACCACCCUCAUAACAGCCUCAUGUUCUUCCCACCAUCGACACACUCCUGCUUUAACUGAUCAGGCUCCAGUGUUCCUCUCAGUUCAGCAUGACCAUGUUUGGUUAUUAAUGUUAAACGCCACUUUAACAGUGACUUUUACGUCCCUUUGUGUUUAGAUCAUGUUCUAUUCUCUGACACAUCUGUGUUCACAUCUUCAGUCGCUGGACCAGUAAAUCGGACUGUAUUUAAUUUGUUUGGUGACUCUGCAUAAAUGUAAGGUUAUCCUCAUUUUCACUUAAACUUUUCACAUUACUGUGUGUGCGUGUGUGUGUGUGUGUGUGUGUGACAGACAGACGGAGGAAAAUGGAGAGAGGGCUUCCUGUGUGUGAUUUACAGAGCCAAGGGGAAAGAGAAAGAAGACCAUAUUAGGCAAUGUUUGGCUCAACAGGAGAGAUGGCUCUGACUGUUAUCACAGUCUGUCCAAACACACACACAUGCAUGCUCACACACACACACACACACACACACACACACACACACACACACACAGGGCUGGCAGCCUGCAGUCAGACUAUGUCACAUCCUUCCAUCACUGAGAGUUCAUGCUCUGAUUUAAAUAGGUUUUCUGGCACAACAUGAAAUACAAAGUGCUAAAAUGUUUGGCUUUUUACUUUAUGGAAUACAUUUUUAAAAAGAGAAUUGUAAUAGCGACUGUGAUGUGUGUAGAUUUAGUCUGGAUACAGGUUUGUUGUGAACUUGUCCUUUAACGCAAACUGAAGGCAGACUGAGGGUGAGCUGGAACUGGACCGAAGGAAAACUGUAGAUUGCAGUUCACUGUUUAACAACAGAAUUCAGUUCAGUAUCCCUACUCACCUGACCCCCUGGGGUCUAAGUUUGAUUGGUAUAGAAUCAUGUACAAUAGGGAUGAAUGAAGGGAAUUUCAUUUUUGGUUCAUCCAAACCUUUUUGUCUAUUUUGUCUCUGAUAUUUUGUCCAGUGGGGGGGACACCUUUCUGCAGCUGUACACUGUUGUGGACGCAGUGUCUUUUUUUGAUGCUUCCACUAGGAGUUGCCAAAGUCAGUAACACAUAGGAGCUUCAACAUUUUGAUACUUAUUUUUAAUGUCAAAGUGGAUCAAAUACACAACCAACAGUCAUCAGCUGCUUAGGAAUGCUAUCAGACUACAAAAUAUCACUAUGGCUACGACAGACAAUGGGAAGCAACAUCAUGAAAAAUCUAUGACAUAAUUUUUAGCUUGAAGGAGUGUGUGUGUUUUGGGGUAUGUGAGAGGUUUGCUGUGUCAUAGUGAUAGGUUGCCAUGGCUUCCCCACGUUUGACUUCCCAUCUGCACACUGUACCACACACAGUACAGAUUCUGUAUUGCUUUGGCAGAUACAAAGAAUAUUAUGUAGAUUUAUAUGAGGGUGGAACAUGAAAAAUCAGUAAGCCUAUAGCACAAAGGUCAGAUGAUUUCAUAUUACAGUUAAUGUAUGUUUAAAUGUUCCUCAUAUUUGACUUUAAUAUCAUUAUUCUGCAGAUUUUGGUAAUGACAUUCAAAAGACAAUUAGUAUUCAGUCAUACCUUAGGAUCAUCCCAUAUUCUUUUUCCACAUUACAAAAUCCACUUAAGAGUAAAAUGAGUCAUUUCUGGACAUAAAAUGAAAUUGUAUCAGGACCUGCUUCCAAAGAAUGGGAAUUUAACAAUUCUGUUAAACCUAAGCUGACUUUAUCUUCUGUGGUAGCACUGUACUUUUUCAUUAUCCCCACUGCAGAAAGGAAAGCUGCAUUUCCCCAGCAGCUGCUAGAUAUUUCAGGCCCCUCACAGCAGCUCAGCAGCUGCUCUGACAUGAUAAACCUGGUUUGUUCAAGGGCCAGCUCUGGAGACCCUGAGUGAAUGCGGGCUUUGGUCUCUGGUUACUAGCAGAAAGGGGUUUAAUGUGAAAGUUUCCCCCUAUGAGAAAUCUGGAAAUCUGAACUGAUUUACAAAUGACAAAUUGUUCUAUGGCAAAAGAACUAAUAACAGAGCUCCCUCUUAAAUAAUGAUUUAAAGAAAUAGGUCAACAUUUUGGCAGAUGUGCUUUUUUGCUUUCUUUCUGAGAGAGAGAUGAAAGAAAAGCAAUUCAGAAGUGCUGGAUAAACAGUUCAUCAGUAGUUCCAGAACCUAACUCGCGUUAGUAAGUGGGCUUUGUGGUGUUAUAGAUGUCUGUUUGAAUCCCAAUCAUUUCUGCUCCUCACAUUUCUCUUUCCACAAAGAAAGAAUGAGCAGAUUUCCAAAAUGUUGAACUACAUAGAAUAUAGACCAGCUGCUGGUUAAAUCUUCAUCCUGCUUGGUCUUGGAGGUGUCUUCGUGGAUGAAGACGCUUUGAGUUUAAUCUGAUGCAGCUGGCCAGAAUACAUAUUAACAAGUCACACACAACCAAGUGCAUUUGAAUCAAGGGUGGUGAUGCCUGUGGUGUGAAACUCGGGGAACAGGAUGCAGGCUUGAAGCUUGAUGUCAUGUACCACACACACACACACACAGACACACACACACACACACACACGCAGGCGCGCACAGUCAGGCUGGGAGAGGGCAGGUUUGUUUGUUGGUUUAGUUUAGUGAGGGCGACACUUCCUGACAGACAGACCUCGAGACAUGAACCUACUGUGGGACUUUCUCUGAGUGUGCGUGUGCGUGAGAAAGAGAGAGAGAGCAAGUCUUCCUUCUUAAUAUGGACUUGUUGAGCCCAGAGCAGAGGGAGAAGGCCGGAGUGAGAUAAAGGCCUCCUCUCCCUCUGCUGCCUUUUAAGUGAGUCUCUCCCCACUGUGACUAGAAAAGGGAAUGUAUGUAGGCAGGAGGGGGGAAGGGAGGGGGGAGGGGGUGACAGACUAUCAGUGGGAGCGAUCGCAGACUGGAAGAGGGAAUGUUUAUCCAAAGCAGCAAUCCCAUUUUCCAUGAUCCCCAAAGUAAAAGGCUGGCUCGGGCCUUAUAUGGGCAGACUGGAAGUUUCCAGCCCAGCAGAGUCAGAGCAUUCCUGGAAAACACCCGGCUUCUUUCUUUCCCUCUGUCUUUAUAUGUCGCUCUCUCUGUCUCCUCUCUCUCUGAUAAAUCAGGAACUCCGUUUGAGUGUCAGGGCUGCUGCUCAGGGGACAUUUAAAGCCCAUGAGAAGAGUGUAAUCAGACAGUAAAGUAAGCUUUGUUCCCUGUGCUCUUUCAUCAGGUGUUGCUGUUGAGAUAAUGGAGAUCACAGCUGGAGAUCCAGCAGUCUGCACAAGCGGUAAGAGACAACAACUUCAAGACUCUACAGAGCGGUUGGCACUUUAACAACAAUAUCUGUACAUUAUAAACAUAUCCAGAAACACUCCCAUAGAAGCUUUUUAUCUUCUCAUCUAUUCAGGUCACAGUCAGGAAGCCAUAUCCACCACGGCCUCUGCUCAGGGUUUGAGUUCAGAGCUUUAGCUGUAAUACUACAGUAACUCUGGGCGAUAUUGUCCCACAUUAACAACAGAAAAAUACAGGAGCUGUACCAACAUCAGAUGUGUUAGGAAGGUGUUGUUCCACCACCAGCUUGCAGAACAGCUCCAGUGCUCGUGACUUGCCGAGUCUCUGGAGGUGUUUGGAUGGUGGUGGAGAGCGCUGUUUAACAUAUUACUUCCAUACUUAUCAAACCUUUCAGUGAGCUCUUGUGAAACUGCACAGAAGCGCCAGAUUCUGAUCUGCAUGAUACAAAUCCAUCUGUAGUUGAGAUGUGAGUUUGCAUGAAGGCCCUGGUAAGUCAGGCUCAACUCACAUUCUCAAGUCUUCAGAUUGUGACACGAAGGUGUUCACAGCUCUGUCCCUGUGCGUUCUCUCAUCUGAAUCUUCAGAUGGAUUAGAACCUGAAUUUGUUCUGUGCUCAGUCAGUGUCUGAGUUGUAGUUUGUUGUCUUCUUUUUGAAAUUCUGUCAUGAAGCUGGAACUUUGACAUUCUGGAGAUCUAUGCUUUAUACCAAACAUCUGCCACUAACAUUUCUGCCUCCAUUACAUAAGAUUAUAAUAACAUUUUUACAGAUGAUGUAAUACCAUUCAGGUGGGUCAUUUCAUUUGAAAGUAGAAACUUUUUUGCUUUUCACAAUUGCGCCCCCACAGAUUAUGAUGGGGGGAUUUUCUUAUUAUUACAAUAUAGGACAUUUUAUUACAUUAUUGGGUGCUACAUCUGCAUCUCCUAACAUAAAAACAGCCAGGUAAAGCAGCAGAGACUGUAUUUAGUAUUUGAGUAAAUGCACCCGGGUGAAAGGAAGCAGUAGAGAGCCAGUGGUUAUGAAGGGCAUGCGUGAUCUGUUCCUCAGCAUGUGUGUGUGUCUGCAGUGUCUCUUAAAGUAUGUGUGUUGUGUUUCAGAUGUCAGAGAGCAGCAUGUAGUAGAGGGGUGAGUAUCACGCACGCAUGCAGAGUCAUUUCAUUUGUGAGUGCGUGUGGAAAGGCAGAGGGAGCAGCAGCAGGACAGGAAGUUGGCAUUAUGUAGGUCUACUGGGCUUUAAAGUCAUUUCCUGUUUACCCCUCCCCAACAAGAAUGCUUGUGCUGUACCCUCUAUCUCUCUGUCUCACACACAACACACACACCUUUUCAUGUCCUUGUUCAUCUCCCACUGCUUUGACUGAUAUUUCCAAUGUGUUCGAAAGACUGUAGAGGCAGAGUCUGUAUUUCCAGCACAACGUCCCCUCCCUGCAAGGUGCAUGGAGAAGGGAAAAGUCUGAAGAGGUCUAAGCUUGUAGUAUUCAGAACAGCUUGAUUGUGAGAUUAACACGUCUCAGCUGGUGGCCAUGGGUGACCCUGAUGAACACAUUGGUCUGACAGUAAAGCUGUUCUGAAUGCUACAAGUGUUUCUGGAGUGUUAGAAAGAUCCAGAAAUGUAGCUCAACUGUGUCUUAGGUGUAAAUGAAGACGUUCCCAUCAUGUGAGGCUGAUCUGAUUGGUCAGAUUGGUCUGAUGUUUCCUCUGUCUUUAGAAUAACCUGUCCUUCAUGAUGCUUAGAGAGAUGUGUUUAUUCUGUGUUCACAUCAUGUCACUUGUAUUGCUCUGACGUUAGCUUUAGCUUCACCUGUGAGUUCACUUCAUUAUGAGUCACGUCAGCUGAUUGACUCACCUGAGUUCACGAGCUAAAAUCAAUAACUUUGGUGUGAUGGUUUUUUGUCAACUGCAAAGACGUUUGUGUGCACCUUGCAGUUUGUGUGGUGCUCAUGUUGUUGAGUCAGAAAGAAAAUGUGUGCAGCCGAUGUAACGAACAUGGUUUCUAAACUGUCCCUGUGUUUUUCUCCAGUUGACUUCCUGGACCAUCCCUGCGGCCCACGGUGCAGUGCUGCAUCUCUGGUCAUUUGGUAGUCUGAGAUGAAGCACUGUAGCUCGGGACGGAGGACAGAAAUUCGAGUCUGAGCAUAUCCAGAGCCAGGUAACAGCAUCCCCAAUCUGCAGCAGGUCUCCAAGGCUCAGGUUAGGGCCACAGGACACCUUGUGGAUCACAAUCAGUUUAUCCAUUCAUAGGAAAGCUGUUUCUGUUACCUUUAUGUAUUUAGAGGACACAAAAAUUGAAGUUGUAGAAUUUAUCACAAAAUGUGGAUUAGGGCACAUUUAAAAUUAUUCCUAUGAUGUUCAACAUUACAAAUUUCAGAUAAAUGAAAUCAGUAAUAUGACCCCCGUCUGCCAAAGUGUGUGACAGGGUUUUAGACAUGGCACCAUCAGAAGGAAAGCAAAAGAUGUGACAGUUUCAAAGCUUCUAAUGUGCAAUCUGUAAAUGGGAAGUGUGCAAACCACAGCUGGGUGUGUGAGGAGUGGGACCCAGCGGUGUUGAUGUGAUGACGGUUGAUGAUGAUGAUGGUGGUGGGUGGAUCCCAUCAGAAGAGGAAGUGCUCAAUGACCUCUUGGUUUUCUUCUCCUCUCUCCUGGGGUCCAGUUUUCCCAGGAAUCCCUUGACCUAUCAGAAAGGGGGAUUCCUGGAAAUACUGUUCUUGGGGGCGGGGCUUAUCAACAAUUCCAUGUAAAGUCUUGAGGAUUAUGUGUGGUGUGUGUGAAAACAUGUAUUGUGUAGGAACACGAGAAAAACGAGGCCUUAAUGUUUCCGUCAUGCCCCCCCCCCCAUCCUCAGCGCUGAGGGGUUCCAAUGUGAAAUGUCUGUGUUAUUGCUCAUUGUUGAAUAAACAUUCAAAACAAAGAAA
Long non-coding RNA from Micropterus salmoides (largemouth bass), 7124 nucleotides. RefSeq lists it as uncharacterized. The record is from RefSeq and is a predicted model, not a curated record. The transcript is spliced from 3 exons. Lineage: Eukaryota; Metazoa; Chordata; Actinopteri; Centrarchiformes; Centrarchidae.